CCUACGGGCGGCUGCAGUAGGGAAUCUUCCGCAAUGGGCGCAAGCCUGACGGAGCGAUGCCGCGUGAGUGAGGAAGGUUUUCGGAUCGUAAAACUCUGUUGCGGGGGAAGAACCUCUGUGAUGGGAUCACAGACUGACGGUACCCCGCGAGGAAGCCCCGGCUAACUACGUGCCAGCAGCCGCGGUAACACGUAGGGGGCAAGCGUUGUCCGGAAUUAUUGGGCUUAAAGGGCGCGCAGGCGGUCAUUUAAGUCUGAUGUGAAAGCCCACGGCUCAACCGUGGAGAGACAUUGGAAACUGGAUGACUUGAGUGUAGGAGAGGGAAGUGGAAUUCCACGUGUAGCGGUGAAAUGCGUAGAGAUGUGGAGGAACACCAGUGGCGAAGGCGACUUUCUGGCCUACAACUGACGCUGAGGCGCGAAAGCGUGGGUAGCGAACAGGAUUAAAUACCCCUGUAGUC
This 460-nucleotide ribosomal RNA is filed under the name uncultured bacterium. RNAcentral's name for it is "bacterial SSU rRNA". It matches the Rfam family "Bacterial small subunit ribosomal RNA", at positions 338 to 795 of the family's 1533-position model. The record is from RNAcentral.